This 1732-nucleotide long non-coding RNA is filed under the name Junco hyemalis (dark-eyed junco). RNAcentral's name for it is "lncRNA (ENSJHYG00000011444.1)". The record is from RNAcentral. Lineage: Eukaryota; Metazoa; Chordata; Aves; Passeriformes; Passerellidae.
GUUAGGGUAAAAGGAGAGCAAAGGACUCACUCUGCUCUAAUGCAAGCCUUUGCCUGCACAUGGUGUUUAUGUUCGACCUGCAAACCCUGUAUCAUUCAGAUCUCCCAUACUUGAUAAGACUUUUUCCCUGUAAGAUACAAUCACCUAUGUAAUGGACUCAGGACUAUGCAGAUCAUUGCAUCCAUGAACUUCCUACAGUCUCAAGGAACUUAUGUAUUUAAUUUUUUAUGCCUGCUGUGAACAUUUCUAUUUUUAGGGUUAAAAAAAAAAAAAAGAAAGAAGACACAUAACAGAGUUGGAAUGAGCACAACAGAUUUACUUGUUCAAACACACAAUGGUGGAAUUUCUCAUUCACCUGAGGCACAUAGCUGGUUUUUGUCUGGUUUGACUUCUUUUGCUCCUUAAGGCUUGCACCAAUACUUCUGCAACUGCUCCUCUUGGUUUUAUAGAAAUGGGCAUAGAAUAAAGCCCAAAAGUUAAUCCUCACAGCUGCUGGCUGCAAUUUUAGUUGUAUGUCAAUAAAAGAAACAAGAUCCUAGGACAUGCAAGGCUGCUGCCCUGAGGCAAAAUAUAAAGGUAUUCUCCCUGAGAUGACUACUGAUAUCUAAAAACCCAGAUAGGCAGGCACUCUGGUGGCAUCUAGUGCAGAAGUGAAACACUCAGAUGGAGAAACCAAUGAGCAGGCUUAAACAUGCCCAAUCUACAGUCACCCCAUACAGUAUUUGGAGUGCUGCUGGUAACAACAGACUCGCCAGGAAGUUGAAAUCAUUGCAAAUGUUGUAUUUUAUGUUGUGAAAAAACCUGUUCAAAACACCUCUGUUGAGUGACAGGAUUGCAGCCUAGAAGCUGCAGAUGAGGCAAGAGGGACAGCAGGGCUCCCUCUCCUCUUACACAGUGCCAGCCUGCUGUAGCAGCCUUGUUCAGGGGUUACCCCUGCCCACGUAUCUUGUGAGGAACCGCUGGGGAGGCUCCUGGGAAGGGCCACAGCAGAGGCACAGUGGGAUGGAGACAAAAUGCAGCUCUGGGGAGCCAGCUGUAAUGCCACUGGAACUUUCUGGGAUUAAUCAUCUGGAAGGGAGUGAUUUUGUUUCCUUGUAUUUGAGGCCAUAUUUGCAUGGAGAUGUAAAUACUGUUUCAGUCUUCAGUACAAAUAAGCUGCCUGGACAAAAAGCUGCACCUUCUGCCCACAGAAUUUAUCUUCAUUUUCAAAAGUGGAACCCAUGGCCACAGCAGCUGCCUGCUGGUUUGGGAUGGUUCAGGAGAUGUCACGGCAGAGCACCACUGGCCUGGAACCAUGUGCUCUAAAGCCCCGGCAGUGCACUGGGAAGAUCCAGGCUGGCAGUGGUUUUCACCAAGACCUCUGUGCUUUCUGAUUGUGUCAGGCCAAUUUUCUGUGGGCCAUACUUUGUGCUAACCACCAAAGAGCCUGUUCUGAUGGCUUUUCUCCUGCCAGGGAAGCUCUGGGCCUCCCUAGUGAUGGUACAUCAUUUAGGUACCAGACACAUGUUCACUCCAAAUACUGCUUGGUUUGUCAAGAAAAGCUGACAUCCACUUCAUUUUACCUAAGAUAACCCACUGUGUUUUCCACAUUUCUGCAAGUUGCUGUUCAUAACUAACUGAACCAAUUUUGCAGUGCAAGUGAGGUGAACAGCUGGGGGAAAAAAACUAGGACAACACUGAAAAAAACCUCAUAACCACUGGUUAAGAAAAUAAAUGCAUUUUGAAGUGUUCA